ACGCAACUACGAGAGCGUUUCGAGAUACACGUCUCGCACCGGACCAGCGAUGGUAGUCAAUUUGAUUAUCGAUAGAGAAAGUUCCACCGUCUCUUCGUAACAGUCAGAGUCAUAGACCCACUGAUCACGAUGAGUAAAGGAGAUGAUACUAGGCUAGGAUAUUGUAUUAAUUUCUCAACAAAAUACCGCUCGUCGCGUUUCCACAAAUUAAUGGGAAAAUGUGAAUUCUUUUGAAGAAAGCUCAUGAGGUAAAUACGAAACAAUAAAUGCAGUGUGAAUUGUUGUUAUCACAGUAUAUUUAUCAUAAUAUGAUACAAUUGUUGAUGUGUUCUUGUGCAGUGAAUCGUAUUGACUAUUUCUGAAUCAGUGAUGUAAUAAGAUUCAAAGCUUUGCAUAUUGGGAACUGAAAGACGUAGUUUUGACUGCUAUGAUUUAGUUUUUGAUAGAUACUUUCAUUUGAGGCAUAGCCAAUGAUAUUGAUGAAAUUUGAUCGUCUUACUGAUGAGUGUAAAUACUUGAAUACGACUGUGUGUAAAUUUUUCUCGAACUAUCUACAAAGGCAUUAAUGAAUUAGGAAAAGGAAAUGGAAAGGUUGAAAUUUAAGUAAAAGUUACGUGGAAUGGGGAAAGCAAUAUUCUCAUUGAUAGUGGGCGUGUCGGGAUAGUUUGUUCGAAAUGUUUAAUCAAUCUCAUGCCUGGUCUUUUGUCCUGUUGACCAUGUGGUCCCAUGAGUAAUUGCGUUGAUAUUUGAAGAGUAACCGCCCAAUUCGACACAUUAUCGAAAAUUAAAUAUUUUAUUAAUAAUGCAUAAACUCGGACAAUGUGGCAAUGUGUUUUUUAUUUAUUCGUUUUCUUAGCAAUUAUCCAAGAAAUUCUCAGAGACAAAUAUAAUCAAUAUGUGGCCCAUAUGAGAAAGUACUAUAGAUAUCUGAAAUUGCGCAGGUAUGGCAACAUACACUUAUGUGAUAGUACUGCAAAUAUCUGAGAUAGCGCAUGUGUGCAUCAACAUUUUAUAUUUUGUUUUGUUUUGUUUUCUUUUUUUUUUUUUUUUUUUCCUUUUUUUGAUUACUUAUUCUAUACAAAAAAUAACAUAUGUAAAUAUAUGUAAAUAACUCGAUAAAGAAAAUUUUAUGGAUUACAACGAAUUGAAUGAUUUUUCUGAGAAAUGAAAGCAUUAUGACCGUAAAAUCACGUUAGACAGAAUUUUCUAAAUAUAAAAGUAAGUAUCACAAAAUUAUAUCUUUUACUUUUUCAAAGAAUUAAUGAUUCUAAAAUUGAUCUCGUAAAAGUUUUAACAGUUGCGAUUUAUUUUAUCAAGCCCUUCAGACUAUUGUUGGUAUUAUUUGAAUCAGAUAUAGGAACCAAUGAAUAAGUACUAAUUAAUUUUCGUAUGAUUUAUUGACAUGGAUUCGUGUCAACAGCAUGAGUAUAUAAGAGCGAGCAAAACGUCGAAACGACAUGAUUUGACGCUAGUCGACUUAUAAAAAUUUAUCAAAAUGAAAAAAAUUUACUUUCUCGCAUUCCUUGCUCUUCUUGUCUUCGUUGCCGUAUCGGCACAAGAAAAAGGAACUGCUCUAAAUGUACAAUUUGGAAAACUCGAAGAAUUUAACUGGGUUUGCAUAAAUGAUGGAAAUAAAUUAUGCACUAAACUCUGUAUUAAAAAAGGCAAGACAAUAGGACGUUGUAAUAAACGAGGGGCAUGUUUAUGUUUCUGAAGACAAUUGAUAACUAUGAUAAAUUAGUAAUUAGCUAAGCCUCAUGAAUUCUUUAUGAAAUAAGUAUUAUGAAAUAAGUAUUUUAAUUUGUAAUGAAUAUUGUGACAAUACAUUCAUAUAUUAUUGAAACUUUGAAUUUUAUUUGUUUAUUUUUCAUUACAUAUACUAUAGAAAAAGUAACUUGAUAAUUAAGAACUCUUUUUAGAACUUUUAUCUGAAGUCAAUGUGAUUAUGUAAUUGUAUGUAUUAAAAAUAAUCUCACAGACUAAUCUUAACAAUGAGAAAUAAUUAUAGAAAAUGUAAGGAUUAUUGUAUUUUAAAAAUUAUAAUGGAUGAUAUAU
Molecule: long non-coding RNA, 2055 nt
Organism: Vespa velutina
Lineage: Eukaryota; Metazoa; Arthropoda; Insecta; Hymenoptera; Vespidae
Exons: 3
Source: RefSeq, a predicted model, not a curated record